UUUGAAAUCUGGCGUCCUCAGGGCGUCCGAGUUGUAAUCUAUAGAGGCGUUUUCCGUGCCGGACCGUGUCCAAGUUCCUUGGAACAGGAUAUCAAAGAGGGUGACAAUCCCGUACUUGACACGACGACCGGUGCUCUGUGAUACGUCUUCUACGAGUCGAGUUGUUUGGGAAUGCAGCUCAAAAUGGGUGGUGAGUUCCAUCUAAAGCUAAAUAUUGGCGAGAGACCGAUAGCGAACAAGUACCGUGAGGGAAAGAUGAAAAGCACUUUGGAAAGAGAGUUAAACAGUACGUGAAAUUGUUGAAAGGGAAACGAUUGAAGUCAGUCGUGACCGAGAGGCUCAGCCGGCUCUGCCGGUGUAUUCCCCUCGGUCGGGUCAACAUCAGUUUUGUCCGGUGGAUAAGGGCGGUAGGAAGGUGGCACCCUCGGGUGUGUUAUAGCCUGCCGUCGCAUACAUCGGGUGAGACUGAGGAACGCAGCUCGCCUUUAUGGCCGGGGUUCGCCCACGUCCGAGCUUAGGAUGUUGACAUAAUGGCUUUAAACGACCCGUCUUGAAACACGGACCAA
RNAcentral lists this ribosomal RNA (566 nucleotides) under Papiliotrema laurentii. RNAcentral's name for it is "partial large subunit ribosomal RNA". It matches the Rfam family "Eukaryotic large subunit ribosomal RNA", at positions 114 to 669 of the family's 3401-position model. The record is from RNAcentral. Lineage: Eukaryota; Fungi; Basidiomycota; Tremellomycetes; Tremellales; Rhynchogastremaceae.